GAGUCCCCAGGGCUGCCGCCAAUGCGUCUCGGAGGGAGAAGCCACCGGCCCCGCCGAAGUCAAGCCCUUUGCCAACUUGUAUGUUUGUGCCUGGAAGCCCUUCUCUUGGCCAAGGAAGAAAGGAAGAAAGAAAAAGAAACCCAGGGGCCUGUAUCCCCUGAUUAAACACAGCCCAGCACUCCAGGCAGGCGCGCCCGGUGGCGGCUCCUUGCACCAUUGACCUCAGGCCAGACACCUCAGCGCCGACAAUGGGACCUAGGCCUUCCGGGCUAGGUUUGCCCCGGGUUGGGGUUGGGCAGGAAAUCAGCUCCACCAGGAGGACAGGGGCCAUUUCUAGCAGCUGGGACCCCAAGACGGCAAACCAGCCCAGUCACCACUUGACACUUAGGACAAUACCUAUCUCUACAGAAUUUUAGCGCGAUAUGGCUUUUUCCCCCAGAAAACAACAAAUAAACCAGCACCAAGCAAACAGACAAAGAAACAAAAAGUCAGAACAAACCAGCCCUGCACAGAUGAACGGCCCAGGAGAUGGCGAGUGUGGGAGGGAGGAAUGGGGGUCCGGCACAGGUGCGAGUUCCUGGGCAGAGGACGGAGAUAGAGGGAGGGGACCGGCGCUCUGGCAGCGGGGAGAAAACAAAACAAAAACAAAAACAAAACAGCGUCGCCUGGAGCUUCAUCAGGAAAAAUUAAAGUUGGCUGUAAGCUCCCGGA
Tupaia belangeri chinensis (Chinese tree shrew) is the source of this 711-nucleotide long non-coding RNA. RefSeq lists it as uncharacterized. The record is from RefSeq and is a predicted model, not a curated record. NCBI's taxonomy places the organism in Eukaryota, Metazoa, Chordata, Mammalia, Scandentia, Tupaiidae. The transcript is spliced from 2 exons.